CCUAGCUAAGUAUAAACACUCGUCUGCAAAGCGAAUGAACAGAAUUGAUCUGAGUUGGGU
RNAcentral lists this transfer RNA (60 nucleotides) under Euciroa cf. queenslandica STW-2017. Its description in RNAcentral is "tRNA-Cys". The record is from RNAcentral. Lineage: Eukaryota; Metazoa; Mollusca; Bivalvia; Euciroidae.